GACGAACGCUGGCGGCGUGCCUAAUACAUGCAAGUCGAACGAGAGCGACCGGUGCUUGCACUGGUCAAUCGAGUGGCGAACGGGUGAGUAACACGUGGGUAACCUGCCCAUCAGAGGGGGAUAACAUCCGGAAACGGAUGCUAAAACCGCAUAGGUCUUCGAACCGCAUGGUUCGAAGAGGAAAAGAGGCGCAAGCUUAUGCUGAUGGGAGGACCCGCGGGGGAUUAGCUAGUUGGUGGGGUAACGGCUCACCAAGGCCGUGAUGCAUAGCCGGCCUGAGAGGGUGAUCGGCCACAUUGGGACUGAGACACGGCCCAAACUCCUACGGGAGGCAGCAGUGGGGAAUUUUCCGCAAUGGGCGCAAGUCUGACCCAGCAAUGCCGCGUGCGUGAAGAAGGCUUUCGGAUCGUAAAGCGCUGUUGUUAGGGAAGAAAUACUGUUAGCGUAUAUCUUAGCGCGAUGACGGUACCUGAAGAAAAAGCCACGGCUAACUACGUG
This 498-nucleotide ribosomal RNA is filed under the name uncultured bacterium. RNAcentral describes it as "partial 16S ribosomal RNA". It matches the Rfam family "Bacterial small subunit ribosomal RNA", at positions 28 to 507 of the family's 1533-position model. The record is from RNAcentral.